CCCUUAGAUGUUCUGGGCCGCACGCGCGCUACACUGAUGCAUUCAACGAGUUUCUUCCUGGUCCGAGAGGAAUGGGUAACCUUUUGAAAGUGCAUCGUGAUAGGGAUAGACUAUUGCAAUUAUUGGUCUUCAACGAGGAAUUCCUAGUAGACGUAGUUCAUCAGACUGCAUCGAUUACGUCCCUGCCCUUUGUACACACCGCCCGUCGCUCCUACCGAUUGAAUGGUCCGGUGAAGCCUCGGGAUUGUGGUUAGUUUCCUUCAUUGGAAGUUAGCCGCGAGAACUUGUCUAAACCUUAUCAUUUAGAGGAAGGUGAAGUCGUAACA
RNAcentral lists this ribosomal RNA (326 nucleotides) under uncultured eukaryote. Its description in RNAcentral is "partial 18S ribosomal RNA". It matches the Rfam family "Eukaryotic small subunit ribosomal RNA", at positions 1470 to 1796 of the family's 1831-position model. The record is from RNAcentral.